This is a long non-coding RNA of Chenopodium quinoa (quinoa), 1260 nucleotides long. RefSeq lists it as uncharacterized. The record is from RefSeq and is a predicted model, not a curated record. The transcript is spliced from 6 exons. NCBI's taxonomy places the organism in Eukaryota, Viridiplantae, Streptophyta, Magnoliopsida, Caryophyllales, Amaranthaceae.
AGCGACGCAUAUGAGCUGUUUACAAUAUCAUAAACAAGGUUAUUUGAGUCGCUUUUUUUAUAAUAAAGUGACGCAAAUAACUCUUUUGGCUUUAGGUUUUCUGCGUUUUUUUACCUUAGUUUUUCAUCACAUACGCCUACAUUCACUAAACAAAAAGAAAAAAAAACAAGAGUUCUUCAAUUCCAGUGAAUUGCUACAGCAAAACACCCACAAAUUCGUCUCUGAAAUCCAAAAAAUUAGGCCAAAAAACUGCGAUUCCCAGCAAAUUUAACAUCUAAAUUAAAAUUGCAGUCAAGUUGAAGCAAAUCCGAGCAAUUUCGAGCAAAAAUUUAGACCAAAAACCCUAAGAAAUUCGAACCCUUAAACCCAGAAAAAUUGAUUGUUUCCGACCAAAAAUCCCCCAUUUCGAGCAAAAAUCAACUCAAAAGCAUACGAAUUCGAACCCAGAAACCCCAAAAAAUUCCUUUUUUAAGAUUCAUCUGAUUUGUGCUUUCUGGAAUCCUGAUUCGUGUUUUUCUUUGGCGUCCUAGAAAUUUUGAGCGAAAUUCUGACGGUUGCUACAGUAAUUCAACUGGAAAGUUCUGGAUUUACAGCUUUGCUGUGCUCUUGAUUGAAAAGAGAGAUGAAGAAGGGCAAUUACAAGUAUUAUCAGCUGCACUUGAGAUUGCUGAAGCAGAGAGUAUUGAUCUAGAUUCAAAAUUUCGUGCCCUGGUUGCUAUUGGAUCAUUGAUUCUUAAUUAUGCGGAAGUGAAUUCCACAAGUUGCUCGAGGUUCUGGUUGUGGACAAACGAUUAAGGCGGUAGUACGCAUACGAGAUUGUCUUCAUUUGUGUGUCCUUAACAAUUGGGUGAACGUGAGUGUGGCUACUACGUCAUGCGUUAUAUGUACAAAAUACUUGAACAUUACCAUAGCAGUGAAGAUCUUAUUCAGGAUUUUUCAAGAACUACACCGUACACCGAGGAGGAGAUAAAUGAAAUCCGAGAUAUUUGGGCAGAGUAUCUUAUAUGUAAUGUUGAACUUUAAAUUUACCACUUAGCGCAUGUUUGACUCUUGUUUUGGAUUAUAGGCUUGAAAUGAAGUAAUUUGGUUAAUUGGUGUUGGGAUGAUGAGUAUAAUGUCUAUGAUAUUGAGAUGUAAAUUAUUGGACAGGUUGUUAAUAUAAUGCCGUCAUUCCCAAUUUUAUGGGUAGGCCAAAUUACAAAGGAGACUCUGUCGAAAUUUACAUUUGCAUUAUUCAAUAAUAUUGCAUUUUAAUUUCAA